This 75-nucleotide transfer RNA is filed under the name Patescibacteria group bacterium. Its description in RNAcentral is "tRNA-Lys". It matches the Rfam family "tRNA". From Rfam's summary of the family: Transfer RNA (tRNA) molecules are approximately 80 nucleotides in length. The record is from RNAcentral. RNAcentral also lists the same sequence under 3 other names.
GACCCGGUAGCUCAGUGGUAGAGCAGUGGCCUUUUAAGCCAAUGGUCGUGGGUUCGAUCCCCACCCGGGUCACCA